GGGGAUGUACCGGUUUCGACGGGGGUAGAUGGUGUGCGAUAAGCGAGCUGGGAUCCCGCCAACCCCAUAAAACGGUGGAAACGCGUUAUAAACGCAGACGAUUCUUACGCUUUAGCAGCUUAAAUUGCUAACGUCUAUAGACGACACUUGCAGGAUACCUGCCUGCCAAUUCUCGGAGGCUGACAGGGAAACUCAUCGAGAUAGCACGUUCCUUGGCCCGUCUGCAGGCAAAGGGGCUGCGAAACAAAAUAUGCAGUCUGCGCUCGGAGAAGUUCGCAUGGCAAUGCUUUCGGACAGGGGUUCGACUCCCCUCAUCUCCACCA
RNAcentral lists this transfer-messenger RNA (323 nucleotides) under Acidaminococcus fermentans. RNAcentral's name for it is "Standard tmRNA". It matches the Rfam family "transfer-messenger RNA". From Rfam's summary of the family: Bacterial tmRNA, also known as 10Sa RNA or SsrA, is named for its dual tRNA and mRNA-like properties. Its role is to liberate the mRNA from a stalled ribosome. The record is from RNAcentral. Lineage: Bacteria; Bacillati; Bacillota; Negativicutes; Acidaminococcales; Acidaminococcaceae.